This is a long non-coding RNA of Macaca fascicularis (crab-eating macaque), 3694 nucleotides long. NCBI's taxonomy places the organism in Eukaryota, Metazoa, Chordata, Mammalia, Primates, Cercopithecidae. The record is from Ensembl.
AAACAUCUGCUCCUUCAUAACACUGAGCACUCUGAGCCCGGAGCAGCAGCCAGGAGGGGCUGCAGGAGUGGUCUGAGAGUGCAGGACACCAUCCCCGGAACAGUCCACAACGUGGGAGCGGUGCCCUGAUGGGGGCCGAGAGCUUCUCCCUAGAGGUGACUCUUCAGCAUGGAUCCCCAGUGGGAUUCUCCGAAGCCGCUGGGAGCAGCAGCAAGCGCUCUGACUCCUGGAAGAGCCCUCAGUCUGGAAUGCAAAAGCCACGCUAAGGUGUUUCUUAAGCAGAUACCUGCAAAUGUAUGCAGAUGUAAGCCUCUUCCGAUAUUUUAUCUAGGACAGAAAAUGUGGCUAAUUUUAUUGAAGGUGCUGCCUAACUGUUUCUGGAACGACGUGAAAAGUUUCCCAACACCAGUCGCUGCAAGCCAGCUGACCACGUCAACUCCAGAGAAAGAAAGUGAAGAUCAUACUGGUGGAGCGUGUCAGCACCAGGCUCUCUGUUAAGGUCUGCACUGUUUCGUUUAAUUCACUUGCUGGCCUCAUGAGGGAGGUCAUGUUAUUUCUCCUGCUUAUCAGGUGAGGAAACUGACACUUAGAUGUUGAAUUAAGUAACUUGCUCAAGGUCUGGGCAGCCAGUGGGACUGGGAUUCCAACCAUGGCUUCAAAGGCUGGUCUUGAACUCCUGACCUCAGGUGAUCCUCCCGCCUCGGCCUCCCAAAGUGCUGGGAGUACAGGCGUGAGCCCCAGACACUGCCACCCUGUGUGGCAGACAAGACCAGCACCCUCCUCCAGCAGUGCACUUGCCUCACCAAUGCCAGCCAGACUGGGGAGACAGGUACGCCCCUUCCCCCACACUGGGAACUGGACCCUCCCCAGAGGGUAGCUGGAGGGCACCUGUGGGAUGAAAAAAUCAGACGCAUCUCACUCUCCCACGUAGGUUAGUCAGAGGCUUGAGUGAUAAACUACUCGGGCCCUGUUCCUCAGCCCACUGCAGUCCACCAGACAGGGGUGAUGACACGAGGCAGGAGCCAAGCCUUCCCUCCCCAGCUUCGAGGGGGCUGGCAGGCCUGAACCUGGUUCCCUGGACAACUCAGGGUCAUCUCAGCAAAUAUUGAUGGAAGAAUAUUGCCAAGAGCUCAAGUCUGUGCCAGGAACUGAAGAGUCAAAGAGGCACAGAUGAAGCCACUGGGUUUACAGGGACAAGACAGCAUUCACAAGCAGAAUACAGCCCUGAGGCUACCGGGGUAUCUCUUGCGUGCUGGGUGUCGGCUAGAGCACUCCAGUAGAGAAGCCCAGGAAGGCUUCUCAGAGGAGGUGUCCUUGGCCUCCUGCGUUCAUUUGGCACACAUGAUAGCUACUGUGUGGGUGUAGCACUUUGGUGGGUAUCAGAUUCACCUGUAGAACUUCGUAAAAACACAGUGGCCUGAGUCCUCUUCUCCAGCAAGCCUGGGCCUCCAGAUCAUUCUGCUACACACCGAAGUUUGAGAAGCACUAGAUCACCUCUGUGCAAUAAACCCUUACAGCCAAGCAGUCCCAAAGUCUCAGUACCUGCUCCUCAUUCUCAGCUGCCUCCAGGCUCCUGGUACUCAGUACAGCUUUUUUUUGUUUUUUUUUUUUUUUGAAACACAGUCUCACUCUAUCUCAGCCUCCCGAGUAACUGGGACUACAGGCGCCCGCCACCACGCCCGGCUAAUUUGUUGUAUUUUUAGUAGAGACGGGGUUUCAUCAUGUUAGCCAGGAUGGUCUCGAUCUCCUGACCUCGUGAUCUGCCCACCUCGGCCUCCCAAAGUGCUGGGAUUACAGGCGUGAGCCACCACGCCUGGCCAAUGUUUUGUUUCUUAAACUGGGUUCUAGUUAACCUUGAGUGUUCAGUUUGUAAAACUUCACCAUGCUAUACUGUUAGGGUAGAUGCAUUUUUCUGUCUAGGUGUUAUAUUUUAAUUACAACAAUUUUAUAUUUUCUUUUUUUUUUUUUUUUUUGAGACGGAGUCUCGCUCUGUCGCCCAGGCUAGAGUGCAGUGGCUGGAUCUCAGCUCACUGCAAGCUCCGCCUCCCGGGUUCACGCCAUUCUCCUGCCUCAGCCUCCCGAGUAGCUGGGACUAUAGGCGCCCGCCACCUCGCCCGGCUAGUUUUUUGUAUUUUUCAGUAGAGACGGGGUUUCACCAUGUUAGCCAGGAUGGUCUUGAUCUCCUGACCUCGUGAUCCACCCAUCUCGGCCUCCCAAAGUGCUGGGAUUACAGGCUUGAGCCACUCGCCUGGCCAACAAUUUUAUAUUUUCAAUUGGUAAUCACUUUUUUUUUUUAAUUUUAUUUAUGUAUUUUGAGAUGGAGGCUCAUUCUGUUGCCCAGGCUGGAGUGCAGUGGUGCAAUCUCGGCUCACUGCAACCUCUGUCUCCCGAUUCUCCUGCCUCAGCCUCCCCCAGUAGCUGGGAUUACAGGCAUGUACCACCACGCCCAGCUAAUUUUUUUGUGUGUUUUGUGUUUCUAUUAGAGACGGGGUUUCACUAUGUUGGCCAGGCUGGCUCGAACUCCUGACCUCAAAUGAUUCGCCCACCUCAGACUCCCAAAGUGGUGGGAUUACAGGCGUGAGCUACCUUGCCCAGUCGGUAAUUGCCUUUUGUAGAGGUAUAAAUCAGAAGGUAAAAUCACCCCUAAACCCAGCACAGUGGAGCAUGGGAAGGCAUCGUGGGGCUGGCCUAUGAGUUCCCUUGGCCAUGGGAUCGGCAUGAGUGUGGGUGGGUGGCAGAGCAGCCAACCUACCCCUGCCAGCUGCCCCCAGAGUCUGAGUGACAGCCCCCAACUCCUCUCUAUCCCUCUGUCAUCUUGUCCUGACCUCUUAGCCAUUGGUACCCCCAUCCCUGCCUCGGGAUCCUGCUCACAAAGUGAGGCUGAAUUGUCAAGCCUGGGACGAGGCGCUUUGGACGGCAGGCCUGCACUCACUGGGGCUCCCUGCUUCCGUGUUUCCCAACAGGCCCUGGAGGCCUAGUAAGCAGGCCUAGGCAGGAUCCUUAGCCUCUGCCCACAGUGGCAGAAACAGCCAGGGGCUGCCGACUCUCCCAGCUACCCUCCCCUAGACUUACCUUUACCCCCACCCAAGUCCUCAUCUGUCUGCACAAGACUCAGCAUAUGUGAAGAGCACAGCGGGGUUUUGGAGUCAGGCACGCUUAGUAGCUGUGUGACCUUGCAUGAGUUACUCAACCUCUCUGAGCCUUGGUAGCUUCAUAGACACUAAAAAACAGACAUUUAAAGAAGUGGGAUAGGCCAGGCACGGUGGUUCACGCCUGUAAUCCCAGCACUUUGGGAGGCUGAGGUGGGCAGAUCACAAGGUCAGGAAUUCGAGACCAGCCUGGUGAAACCCUGUCUCUACUAAACAUAUAACAACAACAACAAAAUUAGCCAAGCGUGGUGGCGGGCGCCUGUAAUCCCAGCUACUCGGGAGGCUGAGGCAGGAGAACUGCUUGAACCUGGGAGGCAGAGGUUGCAGUGAGCUGAGAUUGCGCCACUGCACUCCAGUCUGGGCAACAGAGCGAGACUCCAUCUCUAAAUAAAUAAAUAAAUAAAUAAAUAAAUAAGUGAGAUAAAUGUGAAUGGGAGUUUACCAUUUUCUUCUUGUGCCCCAGUGGAUUGAUGUGCACCCCCACACUGGAGACCACUCCAAACUUCUGACAAUCAUAAGAUAUUUUAGAUCUUAGGCUAUCAAAG